UCGAACUCAGAAAUCCGCCUGCCUCUGCCUU
Molecule: non-coding RNA, 31 nt
Filed under: Mus musculus (house mouse)
Lineage: Eukaryota; Metazoa; Chordata; Mammalia; Rodentia; Muridae
Source: RNAcentral